This 30-nucleotide non-coding RNA is filed under the name Rattus norvegicus (Norway rat). The record is from RNAcentral. Lineage: Eukaryota; Metazoa; Chordata; Mammalia; Rodentia; Muridae.
UGAAUGGAUUAAAGAAAAUUCCUUAGUGUC